This 763-nucleotide ribosomal RNA is filed under the name uncultured soil bacterium. Its description in RNAcentral is "bacterial SSU rRNA". It matches the Rfam family "Bacterial small subunit ribosomal RNA", at positions 30 to 772 of the family's 1533-position model. The record is from RNAcentral.
UCAACGCUGGCGGCGUGCCUAACACAUGCAAGUCGAACGCGAAAGUCCCGCAAGGGAUAAGUAGAGUGGCAAACGGGUGAGUAACACGUGGGUGACCUGCCUUCGAGUGGGGGAUAACGUCCCGAAAGGGACGCUAAUACCGCAUGACAUCCUGCCUUUGAAGAGGUGGAGAUCAAAGCUGGGGACCGCAAGGCCUGGCGCUUGAAGAGGGGCCCGCGUCUGAUUAGCUAGUUGGUGGGGUAACGGCUCACCAAGGCUUCGAUCAGUAUCCGGCCUGAGAGGGCGGACGGACACACUGGGACUGAGACACGGCCCAGACUCCUACGGGAGGCAGCAGUGGGGAAUUGUUCGCAAUGGGCGCAAGCCUGACGACGCAACGCCGCGUGGAGGAUGAAGAUCUUCGGGUCGUAAACUCCUUUCGUUCGAGACGAAUGGCUUCCGGGUGAACAUCCCGGGAGAAUGACGGUACCGAGAGAAGAAGCCCCGGCUAACUCCGUGCCAGCAGCCGCGGUAAUACGGGGGGGGCAAGCGUUGUUCGGAAUUACUGGGCGUAAAGGGCUCGUAGGCGGCCAACUAAGUCAUACGUGAAAUCCCUCGGCUUAACCGGGGAACUGCGUGUGAUACUGGAUGGCUUGAGAUUGGGAGAGGGAUGCGGAAUUCCAGGUGUAGCGGUGAAAUGCGUAGAUAUCUGGAGGAACACCGGUGGCGAAGGCGGCAUCCUGGACCAACACUGACGCUGAGGAGCGAAAGCCAGGGGAGCAAA